ACUGGGCUUGGUAGCGCUUGCCUGUAACCCAAGUGGGGGUGUUAAAGUGGGUCGGACUGUGUGUUGGUUUGGUUUGGUUCGGUUUGGCUUGAUUGUGCUAAAUCCGGCUUGCCCGUUCCAAGUUGAGAGUUGGUCCAUGUGACUUGAGCGAAGGCUCGGGCUACUUGGUCCCUAGACUAAGGGGCACUGCGUUAGGCUGGCUUCACAGAGCUGCGAGAACCCUUGGCUCUUGACAGUGGAAGGAUAACAGGCUUGGGGCUCAUCAGGUCAAUGUAGCCGACUUAUCCAACUCAAAUGAACACCCACUUUU
This 310-nucleotide signal recognition particle RNA is filed under the name Helianthus annuus (common sunflower). Its description in RNAcentral is "sRNA HanXRQr2_Chr16g0754901". It matches the Rfam family "Plant signal recognition particle RNA". Lineage: Eukaryota; Viridiplantae; Streptophyta; Magnoliopsida; Asterales; Asteraceae. The record is from Rfam by way of RNAcentral.